RNAcentral lists this transfer RNA (83 nucleotides) under Canis lupus familiaris (dog). It matches the Rfam family "tRNA". Rfam says of the family: Transfer RNA (tRNA) molecules are approximately 80 nucleotides in length. RNAcentral also lists the same sequence under 1 other name. The record is from Rfam by way of RNAcentral. Lineage: Eukaryota; Metazoa; Chordata; Mammalia; Carnivora; Canidae.
GCCUGGGUAGCUCAGUGGUUGAGCAUCUGCCUUUGGCUCAGGCGGUAAUCCCAGAGUCCUGGGAUCAAGUCCCACAUCAGGCU